This 199-nucleotide ribosomal RNA is filed under the name uncultured bacterium. Its description in RNAcentral is "partial 16S ribosomal RNA". It matches the Rfam family "Bacterial small subunit ribosomal RNA", at positions 328 to 539 of the family's 1533-position model. The record is from RNAcentral.
ACGCUCGACACCUACGGGAGGCAGCAGUGGGGAAUAUUGGGCAAUGGGCGCAAGCCUGACCCAGCAAUGCCGCGUGAAGGAAGAAGGCUUUCGGGUUGUAAACUUCUUUUGUCAGGGAAGAGAAGAAGACGGUACCUGACGAAUAAGCCACGGCUAACUACGUGCCCGCAGCCGCGGUAAUCUGAGCGGGCUGGCAGGC